GAUGAACGCUAGCUACAGGCUUAACACAUGCAAGUCGAGGGACCGGCGCACGGGUGAGUAACACGUAUCCAACCUGCCCUUUACUCGGGGAUAGCCUUUCGAAAGAAAGAUUAAUACCCGAUCUAAAGGAUGGGGAUGCGUUACAUUAGGUUGUUGGUGAGGUAACGGCUCACCAAGCCUGCGAUGGAUAGGGGUUCUGGGAGGAAGGACCACCACAAUGGAACUGCGGCACAGACCAAACUCCUACGCGACGCAGCAGUGAGGAAUAUUGGGCAAGGGGCUCUAGCCUGAACCAGCCAAGUAGCGGGAAGGAUGAAGGCUUCUGGGUAGUAUACUUUUUGUAUAUAAGAAUAGGUAUCAUAUGAAUAAGGAUCGGCUAACUCCGUGCCAGCAGCCGCGGUAAUAC
Molecule: ribosomal RNA, 406 nt
Filed under: uncultured bacterium
Lineage: Bacteria
Description: partial 16S ribosomal RNA
Rfam family: Bacterial small subunit ribosomal RNA
Source: RNAcentral